Molecule: long non-coding RNA, 1279 nt
Organism: Triplophysa dalaica
Lineage: Eukaryota; Metazoa; Chordata; Actinopteri; Cypriniformes; Nemacheilidae
Exons: 7
Source: RefSeq, a predicted model, not a curated record
GAAUCUUUCCCCUCAGAGGAACAUUUAUUUCUUUGUUCUUUAAUGUAAAUUUCUCCUCGACCGUUCUCCAGACGUGGACAACUAUUCUGAAGACAAUGACAGUUAUUCUUCAGAGCAGGAGGUCAGUGAUGAUGCCGUUCAGGGUCAGUGGAUAUGAACAGAAGUUCAGAUGCGUCUAUAGCGCUUCACUCUACAGCUGUUGAGCAGACGGCUGGGGGGGAUGUCACAUGUGACGGGGAUGUGAACGCAGACAAAUCAGCAGCAAACAUCGGCAAACUCUGCAAGGCCGAGUCUCAGACUCUCAUGUCAUGGAGACGCUGUGUCUUUCGUUAAAAAAAUUUGUGCGGCUCAUUUCCAGACGGCUGCUUCACGAACGCUUUGGUUAAAAGUGGGGCUAUUCCAACCAUAAAAACUUUACAAGGACAGUCUGGAGCUUCUGAUUUACAGCCUUUUCACAGAUAUUCAGAUGAGUCUACGGCACUGGACUCAACAGUUGUGGAGCAGACGGCUGGGGGGGAUGUCACAUGUGAAGGAUGUGAACGCAGACAAAUCAGCAGCAAACAUCGGCAAACUCAGCAAGGCCGAGUCUCAGACUCUCAUGUCACUUAGGUAGCACGUCCAUCCUUCUUCUCCAAUCCUCUUGUUAUCACUAUCUCUCCGAAAGCUGUUUCAUCCAAUAAUAAUCAUAACUGUUUGAUCAGAAUAAGGAUGAUUAGUAUUUUUCUAUGUUAAACAUUCACAUUUAAACAUGUCUCUUGCUUUUUUAUGUUCGCUAUGGUCAAAUACUUUUGUGUACACAUUUGAUAGUUUUACCCUUGUCUCAGUUCCAAACUGUCAGAAAAUAUGAAUCCCUAUACGACAUUUUGAAAUCUAAUAUAAUUUUGAGGAAUUUUACACUCCACAUUAAUAUUAACUAUGGCGAAAAAGACUUAAAUUUUGACUUUCCCUCAAUACCACAACAAACUAGUUGGGUUUUUCCAAACAUUGCUUAGCAUUUCUCAUCGCUUUAAACAGUGGUUCUUAACUUUGUCCCGCGAGAUCCAUUUUCCUGCAGAGUUUAGCCCCAACUCUGAUAUAAAACACCUGAAAAGGCUAAUCAGUGACUUCAGAAACAGACGCGCACAACUUAAUGCGGGGCUGCACAGAUUUCUUGACAUGUCGCAUUAAAGUACCGCGAGAUCGAUUCAAAUGCGCACGGAGCAAUCUGCACUUGAAUCACUGUCGCAGUACUUCAAUGUCACAAGCUGGUAGAUUUUCGCAGCGCCGCAUUAAGUUGAAC